CCGAUGUAUCGGAACAUGAACCAGUGUGAACUGUGAAAGAACCAAUCUUUAGGGGUCGACACAGGUGGUAUGCGAGUGUUCGUUAAAUGGUGGUUCCUUCCACCAGCCCCGCCAUUGUUUUUACCAUGCAUAUUGAACGUAAUAAAAGACUGAGUAUGAUGAAAGGAAAGGAAAGGAAAGGAAAAAAUAGGAGACAACUUUUGACGGUGGAUCUCUUGGCUCACGUAUCGAUGAAGAACGCAGCCAGCUGCGAUAUGUAGUGUGAAUUGCAGAAUUCAGUGAAUCAUUGAAUCUUUGAACGCAAAUGGCGCUCUUGGGUUCUCCCAGGAGCAUGUCUGUCUGAGUGUCGGAUUUCAUCCAACGCACAUAGAAUGAGUGUGCGGUAUUGAGGUGUCACGGCGAGGCGAUCAUUAAUUCAUUAAUGACACUCGACUCACGCCGUGUCCCUUGAAGGCAAGCAGCAUUGGACUCGCAUUCUCUAUUGAAAUAAACCUGAGUGCGAAGGCUAAAGAAGAUAUUAGUAUUUUCCUUCGCUCUUUAUCAGAGAGAGAGAGAGGUCCUUGCUGAGAGAGAGAGGACAAAAAAAACACGUUGACAUCAAUCUUGACCUCAGAUCAGGCAAGGCUACCCGCUGAAUUUAA
RNAcentral lists this ribosomal RNA (641 nucleotides) under Porites colonensis. Its description in RNAcentral is "eukaryotic LSU rRNA". The stretch from base 196 to 349 matches the Rfam family "5.8S ribosomal RNA". The record is from RNAcentral. Lineage: Eukaryota; Metazoa; Cnidaria; Anthozoa; Scleractinia; Poritidae.